UGUCUAAAGUGCUUUACUGCUUCAUAGAU
Molecule: small RNA, 29 nt
Filed under: Bombyx mori (domestic silkworm)
Lineage: Eukaryota; Metazoa; Arthropoda; Insecta; Lepidoptera; Bombycidae
Description: ovarian small RNA-35750
Source: RNAcentral